Molecule: long non-coding RNA, 3386 nt
Organism: Erinaceus europaeus (western European hedgehog)
Lineage: Eukaryota; Metazoa; Chordata; Mammalia; Eulipotyphla; Erinaceidae
Exons: 8
Source: RefSeq, a predicted model, not a curated record
CCCCGGAGCGACCGCGCCGCCGCCCAAUCAGCGCCCGAGCUGCUCGCCGCCGCCAAUCCCCGUCGGGGCGGGGCGGGACUAAGCGGAAGCACCGCCGGUCGAGGCGCGCAGGGGCCUCCGGGGCGGCGCUGCGGUCGAGCGAGUGAGGGCGGCAGGUGCCGGCGUCGAGUGACCGGCCGCCCGUCAGACCUCUCCGGCGUCGAGUGACCGGCCGCCCGUCAGACUUCUCCGGCGUCGAGUGACCGGCCGCCCGUCAGACUUCUCCGCAUCAGCUGGGCGCCUGCUGAGGCCGCAGAGCCCUCUGGUGCCGCCAUUUGUUUCUGCGACGCCGACCUCUCUGGACUGGCCUCCGGGAACCCGCGUGUUUGUCAAAAGCUGUGGCGCGGCCGAGGGGGUGCGGAGCCCCGUGGAGCGCAGAGUGGGGCGGCCAUGCGGCCCUCAGCACCUGAUGCCCCAGUAGCACCCCUGGCGCAGGUGCGCAGCCACUUCCGGUCCCACGCUUUCCCUCAGGAACCCCGCUGACAGUCCGGCUGCCGCUGCCGCUGCCUCAGGCCCCUUCGCGGUGCACAGGCCGCCCCUCCACAGUCUCCUGGGCCGAGCUGCGCCCGCCCUUCGCCCUUCCCAUGCCGGGCGACACGUGUUCGCGUCCCGCCAGGGAUCUCUGCUCAGAUGCUGCUCCUCUCCAGACACACAUCUCUCCUCAGAUGCUGCAGUCUCCCCAGAGACACAUCUCUGCCCAGAUGCUGCAGUCUCCCCAGAGACACAUCUCUCCUCAGAUGCUGCAGUCUCCCCAGAGACACAUCUCUGCCCAGAUGCUGCACCUCUCCAGAGACACAUCUCUGCAUGUAGAGCAGACUCUUUCCAGCCUGUGCCACUGAGAGCAGGGCCUCAACUGGCGACCCAAAGCAAAGGCAGAUUUUUUUUUCUCUCUCUCUUUUUGAUUUUCAGGAAUUAAAAUUUUUUUGGGAGGGGGAAUUUUAUUUAUUUAUUUAUUUAUUAUUGGAUAGAGACAGAGAGAAAUUGAGGGGGAGAUAGAGAGACACCUGCAGUACUGCCUCAGCACUUGUGAAGCUUUCCCCUUUGCAGGUGGAGACUGGGGCUUGAACUUGCAUCCUUGUGCAGUGUAAAGGUGUGCUGAUGCCUGGCCCAAGGAAUUUUAAAUUUUAUUCCGGAAAAUUGAGGACAUUCAUAUGUUAGGCUGAGAGAGAGAGAGACCGAGAACCCCCCCCCCCCACAUCUUGAUGGGAGGCCCACGUAGGGAGAGAGAGAGUGAGAGAGAGCGCCUUUACAUCUUGAUGGAAGGCCCACGUGGGCAGAGAGAGAAAGACACAGAGAAAGCAGCCCUUCAGAGCUUUUACUCACAUGCUGACUGGGCAGAUCCCCCCCUUUUCAAAUUUUUUUUAUCUUUAUUUAUUUGGAUAGAGACAGUCAGAAAUCAAGAGGGAGCUAGAGAGGGAGAGAGAAAGAGAGACACCUGCAGCCCUGCUUCACCACUCACAAAGCUUUCCCCCUGCAGCUGGGGACUUGGGACUCGAACCUGGGUCCUUGUGUACUGUAACAUGUGUGCUCACCAGUUGUGCCACCACCUGACUCCCAGUUUUUGUUUUUUUAAAUAGACUUCUUGGGUAUGUGACAACUUAAACAACUUGAAAGACUCUCAGCACUUAAUUGAACUUUUUUUUUUUUUUUGUAUAGUUGCCGCAGGGUCUAGCCCUGAAAUUCUAGAUUUCACACCUCUGCAAAAUAGGUGUCAGCAUACCUCGCCCACUUCCAAACUGCCAUCUCUCCACCUUAGGACACUGAGCUUCCAAAUGUGUUAAAGUCAUUUCAGUAUUGAGAGAGAGGGAAAGAGAGACACCAUAGCAUAGCAGCUUCUUCUGGUGCUGUGGCACUCCUGUGUGGCGCAUGAACUUGGAUCGUCACAUGUCGCCAGGCACUGCACCCAGCCAGGUAUAUUUCUGGAGUGAAUUUCUAGAGGUGGAUUCCUGGGGUGGAAGGUUUCAAGAGAGCAGUGUGCUCCCUGGCAGAGGAUUAAACCAAACCCAAAGCCUUUCAGAACCUGGGCCCUGGUGACUGGACACUUCAUGAGUCCAGAUCUGCCCACUGUGGAAUGGUGCAGAACUAUGAACAAAGUCCAGCUCUCUUACCUGGGCCAGACUCAGCUCCUGGAGCCGUUUGGUGCAGCUUGAGGCCAGUUACAGCUGCAGAAGCUUAGAAGAAGUUCAAGAAGCACCAGUGAGGUUUCUCUCUUCCUCAAGGACAGUAUGAGGAAGCAUCUUUCCUAGGUACAACAUGGAUGAAGUGCAUUUAAGCAGUCAGCCUUCGACUUGGUAUGAAGUCAGACAGAAAACCAAGGGCCUGUUUGGCGGAAGCACGAUGACCAUAGGGCCUGUGAUGCCGCCGAUGCCGCUGAGAGGCAGAGGAGCCAGGACAGCCACCUGGUCUCUGGGCCAGCAGUUGGGGCGCGAGAGGGCAGCACCCCGAGAGUCUCCACCACCAUCCCCCCACCAUUUACCUGGAGUGUGACUUGGGCGAUUGCCUCGCCCAGCCUAUGAGUGGCUGAUCAGCUCCACCUGCAUCCCCAGGGCUCGCUAAGGCCUGGUGACAAGACUCAGAGCUAAUGAGCUUCAAAAAGAAACAGAUGCGUGGAGCCCAGCACUUCCUGCUUGAGCGUUUGCUCUGCCCUGCCCCACCGUCGGCUGUCAGAGGGACCAGAGGCUGCAGCAAGAGCCACCUGGAGGAGGCCAGACUCCACUCUCAUCUGCUCCACCCCAGGGCCUGCGCCUAACCAGCAUCAGUCGCCUUCUGCUUCCGCCCUCUGUGGGGUCACUACAUCCGACCUGCCAAUGACUGCGGUGGAGGGGUGCGAGCCAGGCUUCAACGCAUCAGGCCGACGGCCUGCGGUCAGGUGCGCCAUGCGGGCCUCUCCCCUGCCUGCUGGUGGCCACGCACCUUCCCGUGGGUCCGCGCCACAGCCUCUCCCUGGCCAGAAUGCAGCCCAAAGGAGCUUUUCAGAACAUCACAUUUUGCCCCAGAAGUCUCCUGUGCUUCCUCGUCCCCUCGGGCCUGGGGAACACCCCCUCCUUGGCUCUAUGGCUAAAUUCAGAUAUCUCUGCGGAAAUAGAUCGCACGUGUGUUCUCGCACCUACCCCACCGAGACAGAGGAGGGGCAGUUUUGAAGCUGGAUCACCAAGGACGAGUAAGGACCAAGCUACCAGAAAAGCCUCAGUGUGUUCUGCGCACAAAGACGUGGGGGCACGGCAUGUUGUGACUUUGCACACAGCCCAGUGCUGGCUGGGAGGCCCUGGCAGAGAGCAGUUGAGGAGGCUUCCUCUGCCCCAUGUAGGCUGUUCUGCAGCUCGGCCCCCAGAUGUGAGCAGAAACCA